Diorhabda sublineata is the source of this 717-nucleotide long non-coding RNA. RefSeq lists it as uncharacterized. Lineage: Eukaryota; Metazoa; Arthropoda; Insecta; Coleoptera; Chrysomelidae. The transcript is spliced from 4 exons. The record is from RefSeq and is a predicted model, not a curated record.
GUGACAUUGUGAAGUUUAACGUUUUUCUUGAGAGUUGAUUAAAUUUUAGUAUUAAAGGAAUAAUGGCGUAUUUUUAAAUAUAUCAAUAAUUUACCUUCAGUGUGCCUCUUUUUGUUUUAAUGUGAAUUUCGGGACGUUUGUUUUGUUUGUGCUAGUGUUUAUAAUGAAAAUUUAAGUGGUAAACGUAGAUUAGUGAAAAAACAUAUAGUGACUGAUAAUAGUGUUCAUUAAGAAAAAAAAGUGAUUAUCAAUCAUCAAGUCCAACAAUAAGAGCCAGGCGGAAAUGGGUUUUGUUGAAGGAGAAAUUGCAGUUUUUCAAAACCUUCAGUAGGAUUUUGAUCGAAAUUCAUCAGAGCUUGAUUGUGAAGAGUUACAGCAUCUAAUUCGUAUUCGGCUCUCGGGGGCAUAUCUGUGAGUGCUUCUUUAGCAGAAUCAACUAAAAAUGAAAUAUAUGGACGUUAAUCACCCGAUGAAGAUUCAUUGUCAAAUAAUUCACAAUUUAUAAUAAAAAUAGUUAUUAAGAAUCACAAUAGAUGACCAAAAUGAAUUCGUUUGUAGAGGAGGUUAUAAUCAUGAGGCCGUUCGAUGUAAAAAAUUUAUUAGCCUACAUCUCUGUCAUUAUUGGUGAGCUUGGAGUGGGACUAACGGAAAGGUAUUUUCAUGAGACGAGAACGUGAACCCUUAUUUUGAGAAAAAGAGGGCAAAUAUUAUUCGGAG